Non-coding RNA from Phrynosoma platyrhinos (Desert horned lizard), 71 nucleotides. Lineage: Eukaryota; Metazoa; Chordata; Lepidosauria; Squamata; Phrynosomatidae. The record is from the annotation of a GenBank genome assembly.
GCCAGUGUGACAUACUGGUUUGAGUGUUGGAUUGUGACUUGGAGACCAGGGUUCAAUUCCCUGCUCAGCCA